AAAAUGUCUUAGAAAUUAGAAAUUCGUAUUUUCAUCUGUUAGGCAGUUUUGAGCUGCAGGUAAGAAUACAAAAAAAUAGCAAUAAGCAACAAAGUUUAUUAUUCUCACAGACAGGACUUUCAUAAGAAAAGAGGUACAGGGUUGGUUCAGAUGCUUAAAAAUGUAUGGCCUCUGAGUCAUUUCUUCUAUAAUUUUCUUGACCUUCUUUUCAGUUACAAUAUGGCUACGGAAGCUCCAAGUAUUACAUCUUCACACAUCAAUGUCUAAAAUUAGGGGGAAAACUGAGCUUCUUUAACAAGUCUUUCUUUUUCUUUUUCUUUUUUUUUUCUUUUUUUUUUUCACCAGGGUACAAAAUGAAAGACCUAGAAGGCAUUUCUUCUAAUUCCAUUGGCCAGAACUAGGUUAUAUAUCCAUUCUUGCCUUUAGAGAGACUAAGAACGUGAAUGUCACACAGAUGGGAUCUCACAAAGGAAGUGGGUGGCAUGGAUUCUUGUUUAGAGAAUAAUUCAAGUAGAUUCAAAUGGAGAGAUUAACAUGGCAGUGAUAUCGAGGAUAACAAAAUCAAUUUUACUGUAAGUACCAUGUGUGAAGAAAGAUGUUCAACAUCAAUGCUCUAGUCUUUCAGCCUGACAUUUCUUUGUGAAGUGGGCAGAAAAUUAAAUUGCCUGAAAUUAAAGGAGAAAAGCACACACCAUGAAAAGUAACAUGCCCAAUGACAGUUGAGGUCGUGCUUCCACUGAGGUCAAGUGAGCCUCCCUGGAUGUCAGUUAACCAAAAAGAAAAGAUAAUGGGUGGAGACCAGAGAAAACUUUCUUGGAUAUUAGCUGGCUGCCAACUUGGUAGUAGUUCACACAGACCCACAACAAUAGCCAAGGUGCUAGAAAGAAAUUUACAGCCAUGGGCAGAGUGUGGCAUAACCAUAAAUUUUAAGCACAUUCUUUAUCUCCGAUAAGCAUAUUCCCUAAAGCACAGUCAUAUUUCCCUAUUAAUGUUAAUUCCAUAUCUGUCCAAUUGUUUAACUCACUCAGCAAUUAGUUAGUUGUCUAACUAGAUACAGGAAAAUCUUCUACAGGUUAACUGCAUGUUACAUAAAAGAGAGUUUUCUAUGUCCCAUUUUCUCUGAGUUGUCUGUUACAUACACAUUUAUUUUUACAAGGCAUUUAUUAUUUUACAACUAUUAUAAAGCUUAUAUUAAUCUUUACAUAAUAAAAAUGCAAACAAAGCCCACUCUGCCAUUCAUUCUCAGCAUUAAAAAUAAUCCUGACUUUGAAAAAUGAGCCUCAAAAUCAAAGAGCUAUUUCCAGAAGAAUUAAAUGAGUAAGAUUGUAUCCAUUUGUUGCUGCCACAAAUAAAGGGAAUAUACAUAUACAUGCCCUACUAUGUGCCAUAUACAUGUCUCUAAAAAAUUUCAUACUAAUUCAAUUUUCACAAUAACCUAUAGGCUUGUUUUACUAGCAUAGAUGAGCAAACUAUGUAACAGAAAAGUUAAAUAACUUGCACAAUUUAAUACAUCUAGAAAAGAAAAAUUCAGGAUGCAAAUGCAGGUCUCUUUGAUUCUACAGAACGGUGCUCAAUUUAAACAUUUAUAUAAAAUUAUCCAGUACCUCAUUAACUAGUCAUCUUUUCCAAAGCUAAGGAAAUGGUUUAUUUUUUUUUUCCAUGAAAUUAUCAGUUGUGAUGGUAAUGUGAGGUGUUCUUGCAUUGUUCUAUUUUCAUGUACCCACAUCUGUGUGGGUAUUAGAAGAUGAAUCAACAGCAAGAAGGUUCCUAACUACUGUUCAACCAACUGAAGAAUUACUAUAGACAGAGAUAAUUGAUAGUCUCAAAUUUUGAGUAUUUCUGAAAACUGGCUUAUUGAAAAAUAGAUUGUGAUAUUACAGAGAUUAUUUUGCAAGAAUAAAAUAAUAGGAGAUAUCUUCAGAGAAGAGACAUUAUGGAAAGAUGUAAACUAGGGAUAUAUGAAAGCUUACCAGUUGGGGAAGGGACACUCUUCAAUACAUGGUGCUUGGAAAACUGGAUAUCCACAUACAGAUAAAUGAAACUAGAACCUGUCUCUCACCAUACAUAAAAAUCAACUCAAAAUGGAUUAAAGACUUAAAAGUAAGGUCCUAAACUAUGAAACUAACAGAAGAAAAUACAGAGAAAAUGCUUCAUGACCUUGGUCUGGAAAAAGAUUCUUUGGAUAAGACCUCAAAAGCACAGACUAAAAAAGCCAACAUAGACAAAUGGGAUUACACCAAACUAAAAAGAUUCUGCACAGCAAAUAGAACAAUCAACAAAGUACAGAGACAACCUACAGUAUAGAAGAAAAUAUUUGCAACCUAUGCAUCUGACAAAGGGUUAAUUUCCAGAAUACAUAAGGAACUCAAAAAACUCAAUAGCAAAACCCUAAAUAAUCUGAUUUUUAAAAAGCAAAAUAUAUGAAUAAACUUUUAUCCAAAGAAGAUAUACAAAUGGCCAACAGAUAUAUUUUAAAAAUCCUAAUAUUCAGAGAAACGCAAGUCAAGACCACAAUGAAAUAUCAUCUCACUCCAGUUAGAAUGGUUAUUAUCAUAAAGAGAAAACAAAUAAUAAAUGCUGGUGAGAGCGUGGAGAAAUAGGAACUCAUAUACUGUUGGUAGGAAUGUAGAUUAGUAAGGCAUUAAGGACAACAAUAUGGAGGUUUCUCAAAAAAUUAAAAAUAGAACUGCCAUAUGAUCCAGCAAUCGUGCUCCUGGAUAUUUAUCCAAAGGAAAUGAAAUCAGUAUAAUUUCUGAUAUCUGCACUGUCAUGUUCAUUGCAGCACUAUUCACAAUAGCCAAAAUAUGGAAACAACCAACAUGUCCAUCAACAGAUGAAGGGAUAAAGUGUAGAUAUACAAAAUGGAACACUAUUUAGACAUAAAAAUAAUGGAAUUGUGUCAUUCACAGCAACAGGGAUGAGCCUGCAAGACAGUAUAUUAUGCAGAAGUCAUGCACAUAAAGCUAAACAAUACCUCAUAUUCUCAUUCAUAUGUGGGAGAUAAGAAGAUGAGCAUAUAGAAGUAGAGAGUAGAAUUGUGGCUAUUAGACCCUGAAGGAUAUGGGAGAGGAGAGGAUAUGGAGAGUUUGGUUAGCAGGUACAAAAUUACAGCUAGAUGUAAGAAAUAAGUUCCAGUGUUCUACAGCACUGUAGGGUAAGUACAGUCCACAAUAAUUUAUUGUAUAUUUUCAGAUAACUGGAAGAGAAGAUUUUGAAUGUGCCCAAUACAAAGAAAUAAUAAGUUUGAGGUGAUGGGUAUGCUAAUUACCCAUAUUUGAUCAUUACAUACCAUAUAUAUGUGUUGAAAUAUCACUCUGCAUUCCAUAAAUAUGUGCAAUUAUUUCAUUUCAAAUAAAAAUAAAAGAAAAAGUGCU
This 3374-nucleotide long non-coding RNA is filed under the name Homo sapiens (human). RNAcentral describes it as "HSALNT0128108". The record is from RNAcentral. Lineage: Eukaryota; Metazoa; Chordata; Mammalia; Primates; Hominidae.